CUUGCCAGCUCCUGCAUCUCCAGCCUCUCUGGCACAGCCUUGAAGGUGAAGGGGAGAUUUCUUCUAUGCUGUACAGAUGACUAUGAAGAUCAAAUGGACUCAGGUGCUGAGAGCUAAUGAAGCCAGCUGGGAGCUAACCUUAAUAUCUGAACUGAAUUUUUCAAAGGCUCAACUGAAAAGCUCUUUUGCAGGCAUUUUCUUGGCCUUUCUUGGGAAAGUUCCAGAAGCCCUUGAGUCUGGAUCCAUGCCCUAUUCUCGGAAACUCACUGUGUUUUCUGUGUCAUGGUCUUGGCGAGUUGUCUGUCCUCCUCUGCUGUCUUAUCACUGUUCUGAUGGCUUCAUGAGAGUAAGAACUUGCUCAUUCCUAUGCUGGAAGAGAUUACCAAUAAACCUUUGUGCAUAAUAAAUCUUUAUAGAAGCUACUCCUAGAUGUGAUUAUUACUUUACCCCUCUCUUCUCACUUUGCUUUCUGUGUCUUCUUGCUUUCAAAAGAUUCAUCUUGUCUCUCUCUCUCCCUCUGCGUGUGCUCAUAGGAAAGGCAGUAUUAUGUGGUUCAUAUAAGCCUCAAUGCCCCAAUGAAGAAUCAUAAUGGAGACACCUGGAG
Molecule: long non-coding RNA, 604 nt
Filed under: Mus spicilegus (steppe mouse)
Lineage: Eukaryota; Metazoa; Chordata; Mammalia; Rodentia; Muridae
Description: lncRNA (ENSMSIG00000021026.1)
Source: RNAcentral